RNAcentral lists this ribosomal RNA (204 nucleotides) under uncultured Bacteroidota bacterium. RNAcentral's name for it is "uncultured Bacteroidetes bacterium partial 16S ribosomal RNA". It matches the Rfam family "Bacterial small subunit ribosomal RNA", at positions 100 to 306 of the family's 1533-position model. Lineage: Bacteria; Pseudomonadati; Bacteroidota. The record is from RNAcentral.
GCACGGGUGAGUACGCGUAUGCAACCUGCCUUCAACAGGGGGAUAAUCCGAAGAAAUUUGGUCUAAUACCCCAUAAUAUUCCGACAGGCAUCUGUCGGAGUUGAAAGCUUCGGUGGUUGGAGAUGGGCAUGCGUUGUAUUAGCUGGAUGGUGAGGUAACGGCUCACCAUGGCGAUGAUACAUAGGGGGACUGAGAGGUUUUCCC